This 818-nucleotide long non-coding RNA is filed under the name Citrus x clementina. RNAcentral's name for it is "Citrus clementina (C. clementina) long non-coding RNA (CCLE_LNC001189)". The record is from RNAcentral. Lineage: Eukaryota; Viridiplantae; Streptophyta; Magnoliopsida; Sapindales; Rutaceae.
GUUGCCCGUGGCCUAUUUUUGGCACACGGAGACCCCUCGCAAAGUCUCGUGGCAUUCCGAGUCCGGCGGACGAAGUGGGCCAGCCCCACCCCCCAAGGCUAUACCCACCCGUUUUUGUGGCCUUUUUCCGCUGGACGAACUUGGCGCCCCGGUCUUCGGGCGGUUAUUUUUGGGCGAGGCUUUGUCCGCGGCCUAUUUUUGGCACACGGAGGCGCCUCGCAAAGUCUCGCACCAUUCCGAGUCCGGCGGACGAAGUUGGCCAGCCCCACCCCCCAAGGUUACAGGCCACCCGUUUUUGUGGCAUUUUUCCGCUGGACGAAUUUGGCACCCCGGCGUUCGGGCGGUUAUUUUUGGUGCGGCUUUGGCCGCGGCCUAUUUUUGGAACACGGAGGUCCCUCGCAAAGUCUCGCGGCAUUCCGAGUCCGGCGGACGAAGUCGGCCAGCCCCACCCCCCAAGGCUAUAGCCAACCCGUUUUUGUGGCCUUUUUCCGCUGGACGAACUUGGCGCCCCGGCCUUCGGGCAGUUAUUUGUGAGCGUGGCUUUGCCCGCGGCCUAUAUUUAUCACACGGAGGCCCCUCGCAAAGUCUCGUAGCAUCCCGACUCCGGCGGACGAAGUUGGCCAGCCCCACCCCCCAAGGCUACAGCCCACCCGUUUUUGUGGCCUUUUUCCGCUGGACGAACUUGGCGCCCUGGCCUUUGGGCGGUUAUUUUUGGGUACGGCUCUGCCCGCGGCCUAUUUUUGGCACACUGAGGCCCCUCGCAAAGUCUCGCGACAUUCCGAGUCGGGCGGACGAAGUUGGCCAGCACCCCCCCCCCC